AUUGAACGCUGGCGGCAUGCCUUACACAUGCAAGUCGAACGGCAGCACGGGAGCUUGCUCCUGGUGGCGAGUGGCGAACGGGUGAGUAAUACAUCGGAACGUGCCCAGUAGUGGGGGAUAGCCCGGCGAAAGCCGGAUUAAUACCGCAUACGACCUACGGGUGAAAGCGGGGGACCGUAAGGCCUCGCGCUAUUGGAGCGGCCGAUGUCUGAUUAGCUUGUUGGUGGGGUAAAAGCCCACCAAGGCGACGAUCAGUAGCUGGUCUGAGAGGACGAUCAGCCACACUGGGACUGAGACACGGCCCAGACUCCUACGGGAGGCAGCAGUGGGGAAUUUUGGACAAUGGACGCAAGUCUGAUCCAGCCAUUCCGCGUGCAGGACGAAGGCCUUCGGGUUGUAAACUGCUUUUGUACAGAACGAAAAGGUCUCUAUUAAUACUAGGGGCUCAUGACGGUACUGUAAGAAUAAGCACCGGCUAACUACGUGCCAGCCGCCGCAGUAA
RNAcentral lists this ribosomal RNA (502 nucleotides) under uncultured bacterium. Its description in RNAcentral is "partial 16S ribosomal RNA". It matches the Rfam family "Bacterial small subunit ribosomal RNA", at positions 30 to 523 of the family's 1533-position model. The record is from RNAcentral.